Non-coding RNA from Pelobates cultripes (western spadefoot toad), 102 nucleotides. The record is from the annotation of a GenBank genome assembly. NCBI's taxonomy places the organism in Eukaryota, Metazoa, Chordata, Amphibia, Anura, Pelobatidae.
UUUGUAUAGUGUGUGUGUAUAUAAUGCAGUGUGUUUGUGUAGUGUGCAUUAUAUAAACACACUACACAAACACACUGCAUUAUAUACACACACACUGCAUUA